This 487-nucleotide ribosomal RNA is filed under the name uncultured Ralstonia sp. RNAcentral's name for it is "bacterial SSU rRNA". It matches the Rfam family "Bacterial small subunit ribosomal RNA", at positions 31 to 507 of the family's 1533-position model. Lineage: Bacteria; Pseudomonadati; Pseudomonadota; Betaproteobacteria; Burkholderiales; Burkholderiaceae. The record is from RNAcentral.
GAACGCUGGCGGCAUGCCUUACACAUGCAAGUCGAACGGCAGCAUGAUCUAGCUUGCUAGAUUGAUGGCGAGUGGCGAACGGGUGAGUAAUACAUCGGAACGUGCCCUGUAGUGGGGGAUAACUAGUCGAAAGAUUAGCUAAUACCGCAUACGACCUGAGGGUGAAAGUGGGGGACCGCAAGGCCUCAUGCUAUAGGAGCGGCCGAUGUCUGAUUAGCUAGUUGGUGAGGUAAAGGCUCACCAAGGCGACGAUCAGUAGCUGGUCUGAGAGGACGAUCAGCCACACUGGGACUGAGACACGGCCCAGACUCCUACGGGAGGCAGCAGUGGGGAAUUUUGGACAAUGGGGGCAACCCUGAUCCAGCAAUGCCGCGUGUGUGAAGAAGGCCUUCGGGUUGUAAAGCACUUUUGUCCGGAAAGAAAUCGCACUUACUAAUAUUAGGUGUGGAUGACGGUACCGGAAGAAUAAGGACCGGCUAACUACGUG